Marasmius fiardii PR-910 is the source of this 83-nucleotide non-coding RNA. The record is from the annotation of a GenBank genome assembly. NCBI's taxonomy places the organism in Eukaryota, Fungi, Basidiomycota, Agaricomycetes, Agaricales, Marasmiaceae.
UCCCUGGUAGUAUAUCGGUUAGUACACGCGCCUGUCAUGUAUCUAAUACGCGCGAAAGCUGGGUUCGACUCCCAGCCAGGGAG